RNAcentral lists this ribosomal RNA (274 nucleotides) under uncultured bacterium. RNAcentral describes it as "partial 16S ribosomal RNA". It matches the Rfam family "Bacterial small subunit ribosomal RNA", at positions 523 to 796 of the family's 1533-position model. The record is from RNAcentral.
AUACGUAGGGGGCGAGCGUUGUCCGGAAUUACUGGGCGUAAAGCGUGCGUAGGUGGUCUGUUAAGUCAGGUGUGAAAGCCCUGGGCUCAACCUAGGAACUGCAUUUGAUACUGGCAGACUAGAGUGUGGUAGAGGGUAGUGGAAUUCCCGGUGUAGCGGUGAAAUGCGUAGAUAUCGGGAGGAACAUCAGUGGCGAAGGCGGCUACCUGGACCAACACUGACACUGAGGUACGAAAGCGUGGGGAGCAAACAGGAGUAGAAACCCCGGUAGUCC